Molecule: long non-coding RNA, 137 nt
Organism: Xiphophorus couchianus (Monterrey platyfish)
Lineage: Eukaryota; Metazoa; Chordata; Actinopteri; Cyprinodontiformes; Poeciliidae
Exons: 3
Source: RefSeq, a predicted model, not a curated record
AUGCAAAUGAGUGACCAUUAAAUUACAAUCACACGUGAAUAAGUUUGCUCACAUGACAAGUUAUUAAAAAAACACGCCACGCCAUCAUCCUCACAACUACUUCCUGUCGUCUUGUUUUCUGUGGUUUCCACUAACAG